This 497-nucleotide ribosomal RNA is filed under the name uncultured bacterium. RNAcentral's name for it is "partial 16S ribosomal RNA". It matches the Rfam family "Bacterial small subunit ribosomal RNA", at positions 28 to 507 of the family's 1533-position model. The record is from RNAcentral.
GAUGAACGCUGGCGGCGUGCCUAAUACAUGCAAGUCGAGCGAACAGACGAGGAGCUUGCUCCUCUGACGUUAGCGGCGGACGGGUGAGUAACACGUGGAUAACCUACUUAUAAUACUGGGAUAACUUCGGGAAACCGCUGAUAAUAACGGAGCAUAUAUUGAACCGCAUGGUUCAGUAGUGAAAGACGGUUUUGCUGUCACUUAUAGAUGGAUCCGCGCCGCAUUAGCUAGUUGGUAAGGUAACGGCUUACCAAGGCAACGAUGCGUAGCCGACCUGAGAGGGUGAUCGGCCACACUGGAACUGAGACACGGUCCAGACUCCUACGGGAGGCAGCAGUAGGGAAUAUUCGGCAAUGGGCGCAAGCCUGACGGAGCCACACCGCGUGAGUGAUGAAGGUCUUCGGAUCGUAAAACUCUGUUAUUAGGGAAGAACAGCUGCGUAAGUAAACCUGCCCGUCUUGACGGUACCUAAUCAGAAAGCCACGGCUAACUACGUG